RNAcentral lists this ribosomal RNA (253 nucleotides) under uncultured bacterium. RNAcentral describes it as "partial 16S ribosomal RNA". It matches the Rfam family "Bacterial small subunit ribosomal RNA", at positions 524 to 776 of the family's 1533-position model. The record is from RNAcentral.
UACAGAGGGGGCAAGCGUUGUUCGGAAUUACUGGGCGUAAAGGGCGCGUAGGCGGCCUGCUAAGUCGAACGUGAAAUCCCUGGGCUCAACCCAGGAACUGCGUUCGAUACUGGUUGGCUUGAAUCCGGGAGAGGGAUGUGGAAUUCCAGGUGUAGCGGUGAAAUGCGUAGAUAUCAGGAGGAACACCGGUGGCGAAGGCGCCACUCUGGGCCGAAACUGACGCUGAGGAGCGAAAGCGUGGGUAGCAAACAGG